This is a long non-coding RNA of Juglans microcarpa x Juglans regia, 240 nucleotides long. RefSeq lists it as uncharacterized. The transcript is spliced from 2 exons. The record is from RefSeq and is a predicted model, not a curated record. Lineage: Eukaryota; Viridiplantae; Streptophyta; Magnoliopsida; Fagales; Juglandaceae.
CAUAGAAUUGUUGCCCAUGUACCUUGCACAAAAUUCUCCUCACAUGUUCCAUGGUAUCUAACCGUUCAUAUUUUGGCUAUAACUUUGAUGUAUCGAGGCAAUUACUGUAAGAAUACUAAGAGAUUAAUUGAGAACAUUAAAUUCAUUUUUUGAGCAUGUUUGUCUUUUCCCUAUGGUCACACAUUUUAAUUUAGAGUCAUCAGCUGGUUUAUGGAAAAGAGCUAUACACAGUCACAAGAA